UGUUGGUUUCUCCCUUCUGACGAACCAUGAUGUCAUUUAUUUGGUGUUGUGGGGAAUCAGGACUGUUACUUUGAAAAAAUUAGAGCGUUUAAAGCAGGCUCACGCUUGAAUACAUUAGCAUGGAAUAAUGAAAUAGGACGUUUGAUUCUAUUUUGUUGGUUUCUAGGAUCGACGUAAUGAUUAAUAGGGAUAGUUGGGGGCGUUAGUAUUCAAUUGUCAGAGGUGAAAUUCUUGGAUUUAUUGAAGACUAACUACUGCGAAAGCAUUUGCCAAGGAUGUUUUCAUUAAUCAAGAACGAAAGUUAGGGGAUCGAAGACGAUCAGAUACCGUCGUAGUCUUAACCAUAAACUAUGCCGACUAGGGAUCGGAUGAUGUUAAUUUUUUAAUGACUCAUUCGGCGCCUUACG
RNAcentral lists this ribosomal RNA (407 nucleotides) under uncultured Glomeromycotina. RNAcentral's name for it is "SSU rRNA". It matches the Rfam family "Eukaryotic small subunit ribosomal RNA", at positions 687 to 1092 of the family's 1831-position model. The record is from RNAcentral. Lineage: Eukaryota; Fungi; Glomeromycota.